UCUGGUUGAUCCUGCCAGUAGUUAUAUGCUUGUCUCAAAGAUUAAGCUAUGCAUGUCUAAGUACACACGAAUUAACAGUGAAACCGCAAAAGGCUCAUUAUAUCAGUUAUGGUUCCUUAGAUCGUUAACAGUUACUUGGAUAACUGUGGUUAUUCUAGAGCUAAUACAUGCAAUUAAAACACGGACCUUUUGGAACGUGUGCUUUUAUUAGGCUAAAACCAAGCGAUCGCAAGAUCGUUUUAUUGGUUGAACUCUAGAUAACAUGCAGAUCGUAUGGUCUUGUACCGACGACAGAUCUUUCAAAUGUCUGCCCUAUCAACUUUUGAUGGUAGUAUCUAGGACUACCAUGGUUGUAACGGGUAACGGGGAAUCAGGGUUCGAUUCCGGAGAGGGAGCCUGAGAAACGGCUACCACAUCUAAGGAAGGCAGCAGGCGCGUAAAUUACCCACUCCCAGCUCGGGGAGGUAGUGACGAAAAAUAACAAUACAGGACUCAUAUCCGAGGCCCUGUAAUUGGAAUGAGUACACUUUAAAUCCUUUAACAAGGACCUAUUGGAGGGCAAGUCUGGUGCCAGCAGCCGCGGUAAUUCCAGCUCCAAUAGCGUAUAUUAAAGUUGUUGCGAUUAAAACGUUCGUAGUUGAACUUGUGCUUCAUACGGGUAGUACAACUUACAAUUGUAGUUAGUACUAUACCUUUAUGUAUGUAAGCGUAUUACCGGUGGAGUUCUUAUAUUUAAUUAAAUACUUGUAUUUUAUUUAUAUAUUCCUCCUAUUUAAAAACCUGCAUUAGUGCUCUUCAUCGAGUGUUAUUGUGGGCCGGUACAAUUACUUUGAACAAAUUAGAGUGCUUAAAGCAGGCUUCAAAUGCCUGAAUAUUCUGUGCAUGGGAUAAUGAAAUAAGACCUCUGUUCUGCUUUCAUUGGUUUUCAGAUCAAGAGGUAAUGAUUAAUAGAAGCAGUUUGGGGGCAUUAGUAUUACGACGCGAGAGGUGAAAUUCUUGGACCGUCGUAAGACUUGCUUAAGCGAAAGCAUUUGCCAAAGAUGUUUUCAUUAAUCAAGAACGAAAGUUAGAGGUUCGAAGGCGAUCAGAUACCGCCCUAGUUCUAACCAUAAACGAUGCCAGCUAGCAAUUGGGUGUAGCUACUUUUAUGGCUCUCUCAGUCGCUUCCCGGGAAACCAAAGCUUUUGGGCUCCGGGGGAAGUAUGGUUGCAAAGCUGAAACUUAAAGGAAACCAGGAGUGGAGCCUGCGGCUUAAUUUGACUCUUUCUCGAAUUUGGCUCUUUCUCGAAUCUAUGGGUGGUGGUGCAUGGCCGUUCUUAGUUCGUGGAGUGAUUUGUCUGGUUAAUUCCGAUACGAACGAGACUCAAAUAUAUUAAAUAGAUAUCUUCAGGAUUAUGGUGUUGAAGCUUAUAUAGCCUUCAUUCAUAGUAGCAGUAAAAUGUUUAUUGUGUUUGAAUGUGUUUAUAUAAGUGGACCCGUACCUGUUGGUUUGUCCCAUUAUAAGGACACUAGCUUCUUAAAUGGACAAAUUGCGUCUAGCAAUAAUGAGAUUGAGCAAUAACAGGUCUGUGAUGCCCUUAUGCCCGAGAGGUCCGGGUAAACCGCUGAACCACUUUCAUGCUUGGGAUUGUGAACUGAAACUGUUCACAUGAACUUGGAAUUCCCAGUAAGUGUGAGUCAUUAACUCGCAUUGAUUACGUCCCUGGCCUUUGUACACACCGCCCGUCGCUACUACCGAUUGAAUUAUUUAGUGAGGUCUCCGGACGUGAUCAAUUAUAUAUAUAGAAAUAUAUAAAAUUUUUCUGAAUAUAAAUGAAUAAUCAUUUAAAAACAUAUACACAUACUUAUUCC
This 1851-nucleotide ribosomal RNA is filed under the name Drosophila virilis. Its description in RNAcentral is "SSU rRNA". It matches the Rfam family "Eukaryotic small subunit ribosomal RNA". The record is from RNAcentral. Lineage: Eukaryota; Metazoa; Arthropoda; Insecta; Diptera; Drosophilidae.